RNAcentral lists this ribosomal RNA (525 nucleotides) under uncultured bacterium. RNAcentral describes it as "bacterial SSU rRNA". It matches the Rfam family "Bacterial small subunit ribosomal RNA", at positions 533 to 1061 of the family's 1533-position model. The record is from RNAcentral.
UGGGGCCGUUUAUCGGAAUCUGGGCGUAAGCGCACGCAGGCGGUUUGUUAGUCAGAUGUGAAAUCCCCGGGCUCAACCUGGGAACUGCAUCUGAUACUGGCCAGCUUGAGUCUCGUAGAGGGGGGUAGAAUUCCAGGUGUAGCGGUGAAAUGCGUAGAGAUCUGGAGGAAUACCGGUGGCGAAGGCGGCCCCCUGGACGAAGACUGACGCUCAGGUGCGAAAGCGUGGGGAGCAAACAGGAUUAGAUACCCUGGUAGUCCACGCCGUAAACGAUGUCGACUUGGAGGUUGUGCCCUUGAGGCGUGGCUUCCGGAGCUAACGCGUUAAGUCGACCGCCUGGGGAGUACGGCCGCAAGGUUAAAACUCAAAUGAAUUGACGGGGGCCCGCACAAGCGGUGGAGCAUGUGGUUUAAUUCGAUGCAACGCGAAGAACCUUACCUGGUCUUGACAUCCACGGAAGUUUUCAGAGAUGAGAAUGUGCCUUCGGGAACCGUGAGACAGGUGCUGCAUGGCUGUCGUCAGCUC